Zeugodacus cucurbitae (melon fly) is the source of this 1563-nucleotide long non-coding RNA. RefSeq lists it as uncharacterized. The transcript is spliced from 4 exons. The record is from RefSeq and is a predicted model, not a curated record. NCBI's taxonomy places the organism in Eukaryota, Metazoa, Arthropoda, Insecta, Diptera, Tephritidae.
UAUACUCAUGUAUGUGUGUUUACAUGUAUGAAUAAAGGUAUUCUUUUAUUUGCAUUUUAAACUACAUUAAAUUCUUUCCAAUACCCUGAUCGUUUCAGUUUUUGCGGCAACAGCAACAUUAUGCAUAAACAUACAUAUGUACAUGUUUAUAUGUCAUUGAACAAAAACACAAACUUACAUUUGUAUAUGCGUGCACGUAAGUUCGUCAACCACAAAAAAUCAAAAGCAAUGUUCUACAAAAAAAAAACAAGCGCCAAAAAUUUAUGUCGAUAUGUUUGCAUGCUCAUACAUAUUCAUACAUAUUUACGACAAGCCGAUUUUCUACCAACAACGCAAUGUAGCGCCGCGCAGGCGGCCAUGAAUUUUUCGACACAUCGACAGAGUCGUUUCAAUUGAUUCCUCCGUAAUUAUAAAUGCUCAAAAUAUGUAUUGGAUAGUAUGGACUUACUAUUAGCAAAUAUAAAUAAUUAAAUGUAUUUAAAUAUUCUACUAAUAUAUGAUGCCAAUUAUUAAUGUACUACAAUUGAUUUUAGUAAGAAUCAAGACAUAGAACAAUCCAUAAUAAUAUGAGUUGGGGACAUGGACCUCUUUGCCUGCGAAAACGCGACACUGAUUGCAAGUCUGUGACAAAAAAAUUACUAUUUGCGGUCAUUCGUUGUCCGUGGCAACGAAGAUUUUACAAGAAAUGUACUACAAGUACACAUAUUUACACACAUAUGCAUGUAAACAAAUUUGCGAACAUUAUGCGUAUGGUUCUUUUGAUUUUUUCUUUCGUUUCUGUUUCAUUUCUGUGAACUCUCAACUAGUUUAUGUGACUUUUAGUUGAAAUUCUCUGCGUUUGCCGUUGAAAAGUUAAGACUAUGCUUCACAGGAUAAUUUCUUGUAGUCAGUCUUCAUGUACUUUCUUUGCAAAUCGAAAGUAUUACUUUUGGUUGGUGACAUAUGUAUGUAUUACAUAUUCACAUGUGUAUGACAUAUUCACAUGUCAUGUUUAUACGUGUGUGCACAGCAAAGGAGGACCAAGGAGGUGACGGUGAAAUUGGUGGAGGUUUUUGGAUUUAGAAUUGGUGCAAUAGAUAUCAACAACAACAACGCAGAAAACAGUGGAAAAUAACAUGGCAUGAUGAACAAGACAACAACAAAUCACAUCGGACAUUUAGAUUAGCAGUUGCACAACCUCUUUCCGACGAGCUGAACCCUUUUAUGAUGUACAUAUGGGAGAUGAUUGUUUGGAAUUGACAACAAACAAUAUUGGUUGAUUAGUUUCGUUGGAUCCUUACAGGAUAGUUAUAAGGAAAUCGUUCGCGUUUAGUACUAAUGUAUUCAUUUGCUAAUACAUAAUUUAAAUGUAAAAUAUUAUUAAAUUAUACAAAUGAAUGUUCGAAUACUAAUAACAGUCGUAAUAGUAGUUUAAUUUUAUUUGUAUUGUAUAAAAAACAACUACAAAAAAUUAAAAUUUAAUAAUUAAUACUAACUUUAUUUGUAAAAUAUGUAAAUUUUGUCAAUGUAUAAAUGAUAGCUGCAAAAACGUUUGUAAAAAUGAAAGUUCACUUUGUACUGAAA